AACGGCCAUACCAUGCUGAAUAUACCGGUUCUCGUUAGAUCACCGAAGUCAAGCAUCAUUGGGAUCGGUCAGUACUUGGGUGGGUGGCCACCUGGGAACACCGCGUGCUGUU
This is a non-coding RNA of Caerostris darwini, 112 nucleotides long. NCBI's taxonomy places the organism in Eukaryota, Metazoa, Arthropoda, Arachnida, Araneae, Araneidae. The record is from the annotation of a GenBank genome assembly.